Molecule: long non-coding RNA, 1884 nt
Organism: Eriocheir sinensis (Chinese mitten crab)
Lineage: Eukaryota; Metazoa; Arthropoda; Malacostraca; Decapoda; Varunidae
Exons: 3
Source: RefSeq, a predicted model, not a curated record
AGAUACUUGUGGCAGAUCAGCGUAUAGCUCAUGAGUGACAGGCUUCACAGAUCCUAACGUUGUAUUAUCAUCUAUCUUUACACUCACUUUCAAUAUUCAAAUACGGCACAGUGACAUAAGAUCUUUGAUUGUCAGAUGAAGGGGUUAACUUAACUAUCCCUGAGCACAAGACUCUAGCCUGAGGAGUACUAACACAAGGCUCAAAUAAAGCUUCACUUGCCUGUAGUUGCGUCACUAGCGUUAUGUAACCUGCAACAGAUGCAUGCAGUUGCAAAGGUUCCGCUGCUUGGCAACGUACGGCCUUAUUUUCAGUGAGACCUUCUUCCUUUCCAUCUACAUUUAGCUAAGAUCCUUCACCUCUAGAUAUAAGACAUAUUUUUCCUGGCAUAAUUGUAUGGUUUCCCCUUCUAUUAUCAGUUUUAAGCUUCGUUCUUUUGUUCCUCAUUUAGUUGCAAUGUUUUCAAAAUAAUCUCGUGCUACACGACAAAUCAGUACUCAACAUAAUAUGAGUUGGCAAAUCUACAUCGCGUGUUAUCAAUAAGUCUUGGAAACUACUUUUUCCUUCCAUAUUAACUUGUCUUUUACCGUCAUUUUCAAUAUGGUAUCUUUGCACAGAGACAAUAUUCACGGGUUUCGCUUCACAGUUAUUUACUGCGAGCCCUAAUUCUUUAAUAAAUUCAUCCGUUAAAAACUCACACACGCUCCUGUUUCUAGGAGUGCUGCCACUUUUGCAUAUGUGUUAUCAUGAGUAGUGCGAUCUGCCUAACAAAGUUACUCUUGAGUCAUGUUGAUUAUAGCCUUCUUUUCAUUAUUUUUAAGGUCACUCCCUUGUUCGUUAUAGCCUUCUUUUCCUUAUAUUUAUGUGAGGCGGUUACUCCCUUGUUCGUUAUAGCCUUCUUUUCCUUAUAUUUAUGUGAGGCGGUUACUCCCUUGUUCGUUAUAGCCUUCAUCUUAUUAUAUUAAAGGUUACUCCCUUGUUCGUUAUAGCCUUCAUCUUAUUAUAUUAAAGGUUACUCCCUUGUUCGUUAUAGCCUUCAUCUUAUUAUAUUAAAGGUUACUCCCUUGUUCGUUAUAGCCUUCAUCUUAUUAUAUUAAAGGUUACUCCCUUGUUCGUUAUAGCCUUCAUCUUAUUAUAUUAAAGGUUACUCCCUUGUUCGUUAUAGCCUUCAUCUUAUUAUAUUAAAGGUUACUCCCUUGUUCGUUAUAGCCUUCAUCUUAUUAUAUUAAAGGUUACUCCCUUGUUCGUUAUAGCCUUCAUCUUAUUAUAUUAAAGGUUACUCCCUUCUUCGUUAUAGCCUUCAUCUUAUUAUAUUAAAGGUUACUCCCUUGUUCGUUAUAGCCUUCAUCUUAUUAUAUUAAAGGUUACUCCCUUAUUCGUUAUAGCCUUCAUCUUAUUAUAUUAAAGGUUACUCCCUUGUUCGUUAUAGCCUUCAUCUUAUUAUAUUAAAGGUUACUCCCUUGUUCGUUAUAGCCUUCAUCUUAUUAUAUUAAAGGUUACUCCCUUCUUCGUUAUAGCCUUCAUCUUAUUAUAUUAAAGGUUACUCCCUGUUUUGUUCUUCGCUCAUUUUCCGUUUUUUCCACUGCAAGUGUGCAUAUUUAUUUAUUUAUUUAUUAUUCAUUUAUUUAUUUAAUGUUAUUUGUAGUAGAUAACUGAGGGGGGCACUACCCUGGCCUCCUCUUCCUCUGAUUCUCUUUCUUCACACAUUUAUCUUAAUACUUCACACUAUUGUCUAUAUGCUUCAUUUUUUUAUUUUUUUAUUCAUGACUUUUUAUCCAUACCUCACACUUUUCUUAGUAUUUCACAUUUUUUCUAGAUCAUACUCUACACUUCCUACCUGGGGGACGCGGGUUAGGCCUUUAUAAAGUCACUCUAUGGCUGCAUGC